GACGAACGCUGGCGGCGUGCUUAACACAUGCAAGUCGAACGGUGAAGCGAGUGCUUGCACUCGUGGAUCAGUGGCGAACGGGUGAGUAACACGUGAGUAACCUGCCCAUCACUCUGGGAUAAGCACUGGAAACGGUGUCUAAUACUGGAUACGACCAACCCUUGCAUGGGGUGUUGGUGGAAAGAUUUAUCGGUGAUGGAUGGACUCGCGGCCUAUCAGCUUGUUGGCGGGGUAAUGGCCCACCAAGGCGACGACGGGUAGCCGGCCUGAGAGGGUGACCGGCCACACUGGGACUGAGACACGGCCCAGACUCCUACGGGAGGCAGCAGUGGGGAAUAUUGCACAAUGGGUGAAAGCCUGAUGCAGCGACGCCGCGUGAGGGAUGACGGCCUUCGGGUUGUAAACCUCUUUCAGCAGGGAAGAAGCGAAAGUGACGGUACCUGCAGAAGAAGCACCGGCUAACUACGUG
Molecule: ribosomal RNA, 469 nt
Filed under: uncultured bacterium
Lineage: Bacteria
Description: partial 16S ribosomal RNA
Rfam family: Bacterial small subunit ribosomal RNA
Source: RNAcentral